Molecule: ribosomal RNA, 497 nt
Filed under: uncultured bacterium
Lineage: Bacteria
Description: partial 16S ribosomal RNA
Rfam family: Bacterial small subunit ribosomal RNA
Source: RNAcentral
GAUGAACGCUGGCGGCGUGCCUAAUACAUGCAAGUCGAGCGAAAAGACGAGGAGCUUGCUCCUCUGACGUUAGCGGCGGACGGGUGAGUAACACGUGGAUAACCUACCUAUAAGACUGGGAUAACUUCGGGAAACCGGAGCUCAUACCGGAUAAUAUAUUGAACCGCAUGGUUCAAUAGUGAAAGACGGUUUUGCUGUCACUUAUAGAUGGAUCCGCGCCGCAUUAGCUAGUUGGUAAGGUAACGGCUUACCAAGGCAACGAUGCGUAGCCGACCUGAGAGGGGGAUCGGCCACACUGGAACUGAGACACGGUCCAGACUCCUACGGUAGGGAGCAGUAGGGAAUCGUCCGCAAUGGGCGAAAGCCUGACGGAGCAACGCCGCGUGAGUGAUGAAGGUCUUCGGAUCGUAAAACUCUGUUAUUAGUGAAGAACAAAUGUGUAAGUAACUAUGCACGUCUUGACGGUACCUAAUCAGAAAGCCACGGCUAACUACGUG